This 1226-nucleotide long non-coding RNA is filed under the name Citrus x clementina. Its description in RNAcentral is "Citrus clementina (C. clementina) long non-coding RNA (CCLE_LNC001101)". Lineage: Eukaryota; Viridiplantae; Streptophyta; Magnoliopsida; Sapindales; Rutaceae. The record is from RNAcentral.
CAAUAUUACCAAAUUGGCCCUUAAUAAAUCAAUAAUUUAUCACAUUAUAAUUCCAUUAAAAUAAAAAAAGUUAAAUUAUUGCCUAAAAAAAUUGUGGAAUGACUUCACACAUGCAGAUUUGUUUUAAAACAAUGAUUUAAUCUAACCUAAUUUCGAAUCAAUCUAAUUUAACCACACCAAAAAUAGCAAACCAACAGAUUCCCAGAUCUACCCCCGAGAAAAUGUACCGAUCUAUAAACCAUAACAUGUUACAAAUAAAAUAGAAAGUGGGUCCAUUUAUUCAUUGCAAAAAUGGAAAAAUAAAAUAAAAUGAAGAGAAAUUAAAAUAAACUCUCAACAUAUACGGCUAAUUGUCAAAAAGUUUUACCCGGAGAAAAUAAUUUUAGGUUAUUAAUUAAUUUCAUGGUCGGUCAUGUACCAUUUCAAAUUGCGUAGCACAAGUAGCGAAAUAUAUUACCAAAAUUUAUUUCCUAUAUUUUGAAGAAAUUGGCGGGUACCUCCUAACAAAAAUGAAUAAUUUUCCCGCCAUUUUGUUUAUAUAAUCUGUUCCAUUUAGCUUAUGUGAAUGAAUAAAUAUAUCCAAAUUUGCUUUACGUAAGUUUCAGCGAAAGAGCAGCUUAGAGCGUCACCCGGAUCGGUAACGAACUCUGAGUUGACUCGCUACACAUCGAGUUCGUGUUCCGCUCCGGAUAUUAUUUAAUUUUCUUUUUAGUAAUGUUUUAUUAGUCGUUUCUCAAAUACGUCGUUGACUCCUCUGUCGGAGAGGGUAAAUCGUGUACAAGUGGACUUUUGUGAAAUCAGUUUUGACCAAAUGGUGUGGGCCCUACAAUCUAAUCGGACGUCAAUAUAUUUUAUUUAUCAAGUUUGAUUGGAUUUAUGGUUUAUGGUUAAUUAAAGGAAAAAAAAAAUUGUGCCAAGUUACCCCAUACUUCAUUUUUAAAGUAGAUCUCUUAUGCGCCACUCGACCUUUAGCUGAGUGGCUGGGCUGCUGCCCUCACAGUUUAAACCCCCACAAAAGUAUUGUGAGAGCUUAAGUAUUUCCUUAAUUAUAUUAUUUAAUUGAUUGGAGGUCAACAUUCUCCUUUAUAAAUGUGAGAGGAGUAUACGUCUUUCUAAUAUUAGUGAAAGUAAAAAUGUAGAUAGUGUUUUAUAAGAAUAUAUGUAAACUAAUCUCAAUAAUAGUCUCAUUUAUAGUCUAAUUGUCAUAGUAGAUCUCAUGCAAAAUA